This 327-nucleotide small nuclear RNA is filed under the name Chinchilla lanigera (long-tailed chinchilla). RNAcentral describes it as "7SK RNA (ENSCLAG00000021787.1)". It matches the Rfam family "7SK RNA". From Rfam's summary of the family: 7SK was discovered as an abundant small nuclear RNA in the mid-70s but a possible function has only recently been suggested. Two independent studies have found that 7SK RNA binds the CDK9/cyclin T complex (known as elongation factor P-TEFb). The record is from Rfam by way of RNAcentral. Lineage: Eukaryota; Metazoa; Chordata; Mammalia; Rodentia; Chinchillidae.
GGAUGUGAGCAUGAUCUGGCUGCGGCAUUUGUCACCCUGUUGGUUACCAGGGUCAACUCAGCAGAUCUGCCUGGCUAAGUGGGUGUCUUUUUUCUCUCUCACCAUUGUUCUUGAAUCCUUCCCCAAGCUGAGCACCCAGUGGAAGAGGGCAACCACCCCUGAUAGAAGGACCCAUUUUCCUAGGUCAAAGGUAUAAGAGUAGCUGUGCUGUCCUGCUAGAACCUCCAAAUAAGCACUCCAGAAUAUUUUUUAAUGUUUGACUUUUUUUUAGCUUAACUCAACAUUCUCAAUUUCCUAAAAUAGUGAAUGACAAGUAUAAUUCGAGGA